Molecule: transfer RNA, 123 nt
Filed under: Crenarchaeota archaeon 13_1_20CM_2_51_8
Lineage: Archaea; Thermoproteati; Thermoproteota
Description: tRNA-OTHER
Source: RNAcentral
GCGGCCGUAGUCUAGCCUGGUCUAGGACAUAGCCCCUGGUAGCGUCCAAUGGGCUUCCAACCCAACGACCCGGGAAGCCGUCUAAACAGCGGCUCGGGACUUCAAAUCCCGGCGGCCGCACCA